UCUUCUCUGCCAUAAAUUUCACUGUAAUUCUAAUCCUAACUCUUUUCUCACCUCUUCUACAACCUAUUCCUCCCCAUUUUUUCUUUCUUUUUUCCUUUUGAUUGUCUUCUCCACUAUAACCCCCUCUGCAACCCUAACCCUAAUCCCACUCUAAUCUUAACCCCAACCCUAACCCUAAUCCUACUCUAAUUCUAACCCUAACCCCAAUCUAGACCCGAACGC
RNAcentral lists this long non-coding RNA (222 nucleotides) under Elaeis guineensis (African oil palm). Its description in RNAcentral is "long non-coding RNA (EGUI_LNC010379)". Lineage: Eukaryota; Viridiplantae; Streptophyta; Magnoliopsida; Arecales; Arecaceae. The record is from RNAcentral.